UACGUAGGGUGCAAGCGUUGUCCGGAAUUAUUGGGCGUAAGGAGCUCGUAGGCGGUCUGUCGCGUCGGAUGUGAAAAUCCAGGGCUCAACCCUGGACCUGCGUUCGAUACGGGCAGACUAGAGGUAUGCAGGGGAGAACGGAAUUCCUGGUGUAGCGGUGAAAUGCGCAGAUAUCAGGAGGAACACCGGUGGCGAAGGCGGUUCUCUGGGCAUUACCUGACGCUGAGGAGCGAAAGUGUGGGGAGCGAACAGG
RNAcentral lists this ribosomal RNA (253 nucleotides) under uncultured bacterium. Its description in RNAcentral is "partial 16S ribosomal RNA". It matches the Rfam family "Bacterial small subunit ribosomal RNA", at positions 524 to 776 of the family's 1533-position model. The record is from RNAcentral.